This 443-nucleotide ribosomal RNA is filed under the name uncultured bacterium. RNAcentral describes it as "partial 16S ribosomal RNA". It matches the Rfam family "Bacterial small subunit ribosomal RNA", at positions 338 to 795 of the family's 1533-position model. The record is from RNAcentral.
CCUACGGGUGACAGCAGUGGGGAAUAUUGGGCAAUGGGCGCAAGCCUGACCCAGCAACGCCGCGUGAAGGAAGAAGGCUUUCGGGUUGUAAACUUCUUUUAUCAGGGACGAAGCAAGUGACGGUACCUGAUGAAUAAGCCACGGCUAACUACGUGCCAGCAGCCGCGGUAAUACGGGGGGUGCAAGCGUUGUCCGGAAUCAUUGGGCGUAAAGAGUUCGUAGGCGGCACGUAAAGUCUGGUGUUAAAGGCAGAGGCUCAACUUCUGUACGGCACUGGAUACUUGCGAGCUAGAAGGCGGUAGAGGUAAAGGGAAUUCCUGGUGUAGCGGUGAAAUGCUUAGAUAUCAGGAGGAACAUCGGUGGCGUAAGCGCUUUACUGGGCCGUAAUUGACGCUGAGGAACGAAAGCCAGGGUAGCAAAUGGGAUUAGAUACCCUUGUAGUC